Molecule: ribosomal RNA, 467 nt
Filed under: Streptococcus sobrinus
Lineage: Bacteria; Bacillati; Bacillota; Bacilli; Lactobacillales; Streptococcaceae
Description: bacterial SSU rRNA
Rfam family: Bacterial small subunit ribosomal RNA
Source: RNAcentral
GACGAACGCGGCGGCGUGCCUAAUACAUGCAAGUGGAACGCAUUGGUAACACCGGACUUGCUCCAGUGUUACUAUGAGUCGCGAACGGGUGAGUAACGCGUAGGUAACCUGCCUGAUAGCGGGGGAUAACUAUUGGAAACGAUAGCUAAUACCGCAUAAGAGGAGUUAACUCAUGUUAACUGUUUAAAAGAAGCAAUGGCUUCACUAUCAGAUGGACCUGCGUUGUAUUAGCUAGUAGGUAGGGUAACGGCCUACCUAGGCACCGAUACAUAGCCGACCUGAGAGGGUGAACGGCCACACUGGGACUGAGACACGGCCCAGACUCCUACGGGAGGCAGCAGUAGGGAAUCUUCGGCAAUGGACGCAAGUCUGACCGAGCAACGCCGCGUGAGUGAAGACGGUUUUCGGAUCGUAAAGCUCUGUUGUAGGGGAAGAACGUGUGUAAGAGUGGAAAGCUUACACAGUGA